RNAcentral lists this ribosomal RNA (502 nucleotides) under uncultured bacterium. RNAcentral describes it as "bacterial SSU rRNA". It matches the Rfam family "Bacterial small subunit ribosomal RNA", at positions 16 to 507 of the family's 1533-position model. The record is from RNAcentral.
AUCCUGGCUCAGGAUGAACGCUAGCUACAGGCUUAACACAUGCAAGUCGAGGGGCAGCAUGAUUGAAGCUUGCUUCAAUUGAUGGCGACCGGCGCACGGGUGAGUAACACGUAUCCAACCUUCCGUACACUCAGGGAUAGCCUUUCGAAAGAAAGAUUAAUACCUGAUGGUAUCUUAAGCACACAUGUAAUUAAGAUUAAAGAUUUAUCGGUGUACGAUGGGGAUGCGUUCCAUUAGGUAGUAGGCGGGGUAACGGCCCACCAAGGCGACGAUCAGUAGGGGUUCUGAGAGGAAGGUCCCCCACAUUGGAACUGAGACACGGUCCAAACUCCUACGGGAGGCAGCAGUGAGGAAUAUUGGUCAAUGGACGAGAGUCUGAACCAGCCAAGUAGCGUGAAGGAUGACUGCCCUAUGGGUUGUAAACUUCUUUUAUACGGGAAUAAAGUGAGGCACGUGUGCCUUUUUGUAUGUACCGUAUGAAUAAGGAUCGGCUAACUCCGUG